This is a long non-coding RNA of Acanthochromis polyacanthus (spiny chromis), 1140 nucleotides long. RefSeq lists it as uncharacterized. The record is from RefSeq and is a predicted model, not a curated record. NCBI's taxonomy places the organism in Eukaryota, Metazoa, Chordata, Actinopteri, Pomacentridae. The transcript is spliced from 3 exons.
UCUAAGAAACUUUUCCUAAAACUUUCUCCUUUAUUUCUAAACUGAUCCGAGGAAAGAAAUGAGACGGCGUGGUGACGUCACAGGUCACAUGACCGCAGGUGAGGGCAGAGGUCAGGGCCGACUGCUGCUCACUUUAGCAGAUGGAAACCAGACAUCCCAUAAUGAGUGGACUGUGCUCCGUAACAGGUCGUCUGUCCUUUAGCCCUCUUUAGUUCCUGUUGGCGUCAUUUACUUUGGACCCGUCUAUCACCUGCUCUGCGGUUGGACAGCGACGCCCGGUGGAGCUCAGAGGAACUGCAGUUGCUGGAGGCUUCAGAGAUCAGUACAGUCCCAGCCCCGCCGCCUCGGUCACGGAGACGUUCACAUCACUUCCUGGUUGUUCUGAAUGACACGAACAACAUCAUCAAACAACAAAGCCAUAAAAAUAUCAGACUUGUUUAUUAAAUACUUAAAAUUCCCUGAUUUAAUAUAAAUUUGUUUAUAUUAUUAAUUAUUGGUUAAUUUCAUCCUCUUCUGGUUACAUAUGGUUGUAAUAAUUCCUUUAUAUGAGUCUUUUACAAUGUAAUAUGAAUAAGUUGUUGUUUCCAUUUUGUGUUAUUCUCUAUGAUAAUUUUCAGUUAACACUCUGUAACUGAGGAGAAGGUGAGGACAUCAGGCUGUAUAAAUGUAAAAGUGAAAUUCCUGACAUGGAAUAGUAGAAGCUGAUGUUCACUGAGAGGCGGAUGGGUCAUUCUGUGUGGUUUCACCAGAUGGUGGUUGCUGCACCAUCUUCAAAUUAGUCCUAAAUUUGUAUGCCAUUAGACACUCACAAAAGUACUUUCUAUGCUAAAUUGUAGGCCUGUAGCUCAAAUAGUUUCUGAGUUGUGGGGGUCUGAAAUUUUCAGAAUUUGGGCUAUAAAAAGCCUCGGCAGCGUUUUUUGCAUCUUUAAGUGGUUAUUUGUCAGCCUCUAGACAUACCAGAGAGCUGUGAGUUGGUAAACAAGGCCUCUGCAUGUAGCUAGUGCCCCACAAACAUCCCCAGGUGUUUCCCUACACUCUGCAGGCCGUGGGGGCUUGAUAAAAAUGAUAAAAAUUAAGAGACACCUACUCACGAGUGGAGUUUGGGACCUUUAAAGUACUAGAAAUACUGCACAGAAGUGU